Molecule: ribosomal RNA, 484 nt
Filed under: uncultured bacterium
Lineage: Bacteria
Description: partial 16S ribosomal RNA
Rfam family: Bacterial small subunit ribosomal RNA
Source: RNAcentral
AUUGAACGCUGGCGGCAGGCCUAACACAUGCCAGUCGAGCGGAUGAAGGGAGCUUGCUCCUGGAUUCAGCGGCGGACGGGUGAGUAAUGCCUAGGAAUCUGCCUGGUAGUGGGGGAUAACGUCCGGAAACGGGCGCUAAUACCGCAUACGUCCUGAGGGAGAAAGUGGGGGAUCUUCGGACCUCACGCUAUCAGAUGAGCCUAGGUCAGAUUAGCUAGUUGGUGGGGUAAAGGCCUACCAAGGCGACGAUCCGUAACUGGUCUGAGAGGAUGAUCAGUCACACUGGAACUGAGACACGGUCCAGACUCCUACGGGAGGCAGCAGUGGGGAAUAUUGGACAAUGGGCGAAAGCCUGAUCCAGCCAUGCCGCGUGUGUGAAGAAGGUCUUCGGAUUGUAAAGCACUUUAAGUUGGGAGGAAGGGCAGUAAGUUAAUACCUUGCUGUUUUGACGUUACCAACAGAAUAAGCACCGGCUAACUUCGUG